RNAcentral lists this non-coding RNA (110 nucleotides) under bovine gut metagenome. RNAcentral's name for it is "FMN riboswitch (RFN element)". It matches the Rfam family "FMN riboswitch aptamer (RFN element)". From Rfam's summary of the family: The RFN element is a highly conserved domain that is found frequently in the 5'-untranslated regions of prokaryotic mRNAs that encode for flavin mononucleotide (FMN) biosynthesis and transport proteins. This element is a metabolite-dependent riboswitch that directly binds FMN in the absence of proteins. The record is from RNAcentral.
UCUUCAGGGCGGGGUGCGAUUCCCCACUGGCGGUAGAGUCCGCGAACUGCUUCGGCAGCCGAACCGGUGAGAUUCCGGUACCAACGGUAUAGUCCGGAUGGAAGAAGAUG